Long non-coding RNA from Magnolia sinica, 151 nucleotides. RefSeq lists it as uncharacterized. The record is from RefSeq and is a predicted model, not a curated record. Lineage: Eukaryota; Viridiplantae; Streptophyta; Magnoliopsida; Magnoliales; Magnoliaceae. The transcript has 3 exons.
GUUCCUCGAUCUCGGUUUCUUCCAGUGAAGACAACAUCUGAUUUGCUUCUCGUUUAGAAAUAGUGUAAGAACUAAUCCAGUAAACCCUUCUAUUGAGUUGGGACCCGAAUUCAAAAAGGUUAGCAACUUUCUCAGUCACUUCAAGUCCAUC